This 1092-nucleotide ribosomal RNA is filed under the name Triticum aestivum (bread wheat). Its description in RNAcentral is "partial small subunit ribosomal RNA". Lineage: Eukaryota; Viridiplantae; Streptophyta; Magnoliopsida; Poales; Poaceae. The record is from RNAcentral.
AUGCGGUGCAUGGCAAUGCCCGCAGGUAAUGAAGCAGAAGAUUUAGGCGGACCGCUAUCUCAGUUGUUAGGACUUAUACAAGAUGUCUCUAUUGUGGAAAGUGGGCCACAUUUGGACUCCAAGCAUGCAUAUGUUAUUGUCAGGCAUGUGAAGUUUGCAACCAAGAAAGGCGGAAAGAAAGCUAGCAAGGCCAUGGAAGACGCGGGCAAAGGUACCCCCAGCAACACUGCCUGUGAAUCACCAGCCACUGCUACUAAUAGUGGGGACAAGACAAGUGAACAUGGUUUGGAAGUUGAGGAUGUUGACAAAACGCCAGCCUAUUACUCUCGUGAUUCUUUGGCGCAAAAAGAAAGGCAAGAUAGAGGCGUUGGAGGCAGCAACCGCGAUAACAUGGACAACGUGAGUGCUGGAGGAAACAGGAUUAACCCUAGUCAGGGGGGAUCACAAUCAUCCGAACAUGGACUUGGUUCUAGGAGUGGAAAUUCUCACAUGGAAAAGCGAGAGAAGACUAAUCAGGAUAUGGUACCUGAGCAAACCAACAGGUAUGCUAGCCGUAGACAGCAGAUGGGAGGCGUUAACCAAGGCAGACCCCCGCAGGACCCGAGAAGAAAUGAAAAUGAAGGUCGCCACCGGUUCAACGGCAAUCAAAGGCCUUUGGAACAGCCUAGCCCGCCAUCGGCAAGGUUCAGCCAAGGCAGACCCCCACAGGACCCGAGAAGAAACGAAAAUGAAGCCCGCCACCGGUUCAACGACAACCAGAGGCCUUUGGAACAGUCUAGCCCGCCAUCGCCAAGGUUGGGCCAAGGCCGACCCCCACAGGACCCGAGAAGAAACGAGAGAAGGAGCCAUGUCCCAUCAUCAAAUAAUAACCAGCCGCCACGAUUCCAACAAUCGAAUCAGAACAGUGGACCAUUAGCAGGCCGCGAUGCAGGGAGUCCGACUCCAACAGCCAGGAGUUUGGGCGUCUUCAGCAGCCGAACGCAAGCCACAACAUCCGAGCCGAAGAAGGCAGAUGGUGCGUCCGCUGCUGGUAAGCCUUCCGAUACCAGUCCGACCAAAAGCUUUGGAAUAUUUAGUACUCCCAGAAAGUGA